RNAcentral lists this long non-coding RNA (671 nucleotides) under Homo sapiens (human). RNAcentral describes it as "HSALNT0231712". Lineage: Eukaryota; Metazoa; Chordata; Mammalia; Primates; Hominidae. The record is from RNAcentral.
GCUUUUCAAGGCAAAGAGGUCAAUGAUGCAACUUCUCUUUGGCCUGGCUAUGUCUUCAGCACCUCUUUAUUGCUUGAAAUCUUUAAACAAAAACAAAUGUCAAGGUCAAUCCGGAGAGCAACAGAAGUGAUACAGAGGGAUAUAUAUAAUUGUACGGCUACCUUCCAUGUCUGCAAGGAGCUGGCACAGGUGCAGGAGCCACCUGCAAGGAAGAAAAAGGCAGUGAGGAGUGAAUGUUGUGUGCCUCCCAUCCACCUCAGGCAGCUCAAUGCUGGACAGAGCACUGGGUCCUAGUUCAGCACACCUUUGGCCUUGAGGGUGACCUGCAGCCGGGCAGUUUUCAGCCUCAGUCCUCUCGCCUCAGAAAUCGGAGGCACUAGGAAGAUGGCAAUGUUCUAAGUGGUGAUGAAGGCUCUUGGCGGGGAGAAAGCUCGAGAAGUGCAAAGCAAAGGAGUCCACUUUAGGAAGAGCUCAAAAUGCACCUGCCUCCUGCCCCAGGGAUGUUCUAUUCUGUGGUAUGAAAAUGAAGAUCCUAAGACCCGAAACCAGGCAUCCUUUACCAGUGGCGCAGGAGCAGCUGAGGUCCAUUCGGAGAUCAGGUGAGGCUGGAGUUCCUAAGCCACAGGCGAAAAAACAGGCGGGCCGGUAGGAGGCGGAACAGGAGCAGGCCG